UACGGGGGGGGCAAGCGUUGUUCGGAAUUACUGGGCGUAAAGGGCUCGUAGGCGGCCAACUAAGUCAGACGUGAAAUCCCUCGGCUUAACCGGGGAACUGCGUCUGAUACUGGAUGGCUUGAGAUUGGGAGAGGGAUGCGGAAUUCCAGGUGUAGCGGUGAAAUGCGUAGAUAUCUGGAGGAACACCAACGGCGAAGGCAGCUCGCUGGGACGGUACUGACGCUGAGACGCGAAAGCGUGGGGAGCAAACAGG
This 253-nucleotide ribosomal RNA is filed under the name uncultured bacterium. Its description in RNAcentral is "partial 16S ribosomal RNA". It matches the Rfam family "Bacterial small subunit ribosomal RNA", at positions 524 to 776 of the family's 1533-position model. The record is from RNAcentral.